AGGACGAACGCUGGCGGCGUGCUUAACACAUGCAAGUCGAGCGGAAAGGCCCUUCGGGGUACUCGAGCGGCGAACGGGUGAGUAACACGUGAGUAAUCCGCCCCUAGCUCUGGGAUAGCUCCGGGAAACCGGGAUUAAUACCGGAUACGACCACCUUAGACAUCUUUUGUGGUGGAAAGAAUUUCGGCUAUGGAUGAGCUCGCGGCCUAUCAGCUUGUGGUGGGGUAACGCCUACCAAGGCGACGACGGGUA
This 252-nucleotide ribosomal RNA is filed under the name uncultured bacterium. RNAcentral's name for it is "partial small subunit ribosomal RNA". It matches the Rfam family "Bacterial small subunit ribosomal RNA", at positions 26 to 285 of the family's 1533-position model. The record is from RNAcentral.